UUUCCGUAGGUGAACCUGCGGAAGGAUCAUUAUCGAAUUCCGGCUGUGCGCCGAAAGGCCGCACGCCGUUUUCCACACACCUGUGCACCAUCGCGGGGUAACCCGCCGUAACACACACGUUUAUAGUCCAGAAUGUAACUUUUUAUAAAAAUACAACUUGCAGCAACGGAUCUCUUGGCUCACGCAUCGAUGAAGAACGCAGC
RNAcentral lists this unclassified non-coding RNA (203 nucleotides) under uncultured fungus. RNAcentral's name for it is "sequence contains ITS1, 5.8S rRNA gene". The stretch from base 155 to 203 matches the Rfam family "5.8S ribosomal RNA", at positions 1 to 49 of the family's 154-position model. The record is from RNAcentral. Lineage: Eukaryota; Fungi.